This 592-nucleotide ribosomal RNA is filed under the name Phyllosticta capitalensis. RNAcentral describes it as "partial large subunit ribosomal RNA". It matches the Rfam family "Eukaryotic large subunit ribosomal RNA", at positions 48 to 655 of the family's 3401-position model. The record is from RNAcentral. Lineage: Eukaryota; Fungi; Ascomycota; Dothideomycetes; Botryosphaeriales; Phyllostictaceae.
AAGCGGAGGAAAAGAAACCAACAGGGAUUGCCUUAGUAACGGCGAGUGAAGCGGCAAUAGCUCAAAUUUGAAAGCUGGCGUCUUCGACGUCCGCGUUGUAAUUUGUAGAGGAUGCUUCGGCGAAGACUCCUGCCUAAGUCCCCUGGAACGGGGCGUCAUAGAGGGUGAGAAUCCCGUAUGUGGCGGGCAGUCUAAGCCAUGUGAAGCUCCUUCGACGAGUCGAGUUGUUUGGGAAUGCAGCUCUAAAUGGGAGGUAAAUUUCUUCUAAAGCUAAAUAUUGGCCAGAGACCGAUAGCGCACAAGUAGAGUGAUCGAAAGAUGAAAAGCACUUUGGAAAGAGAGUUAAAAAGUACGUGAAAUUGUUGAAAGGGAAGCGCUUGCAACCAGACUCGCUCGUAGUUGCUCAGCCGGCCUCUUGGCCGGUGUACUCUUCUACGAUCGGGCCAGCAUCAGUUCGGGCGGCAGGAUAAAGGUGUCGGGAAUGUAGCACCCUUCGGGGUGUGUUAUAGCCCGGCGCGGAAUGCUGCCAGCCUGGACUGAGGAUCUCGCUUCGGCAAGGAUGCUGGCGUAAUGGUUGUAAGCGGCCCGUCUU